Molecule: unclassified non-coding RNA, 215 nt
Filed under: plant metagenome
Description: partial contains small subunit ribosomal RNA, internal transcribed spacer 1, and 5.8S ribosomal RNA
Source: RNAcentral
UCUCCGUUGGUGAACCAGCGGAGGGAUCAUUACCGAGUUUACAACUCCCAAACCCCUGUGAACAUACCUGUUUUGUUGCUUCGGCGGUGCCCUCGCUCUCGCGGCGAGGCCCGCCAGAGGACCCAAACAAACUCUUUGACUUUGAUCUUGGAUUAUACUUCUGAGUGAUACAAAAAAUAAAAUCAAAACUUUCAACAACGGAUCUCUUGGUUCUG